UAUACCAAGCCGGCUUUUUUUUAUUAUUUUAAAUCUGGCUUUUUCCUCACAAGUGAGGUCUCUGUUGAUUUUGGGAUGCUCACACUAGGAAAGCUGUCUUUCCUCUGCAUCCUAUAAGCUACAGCAGAUGAUCGUUGUGCAUUUCUUCACCUUUCAUGCGUUAGACAGCAAAUACAGCAAGACACCAUGUGCCUCUGACAAGUAUCCACAGAGUACGGGGCACGGGCUGCACACAGGUCUGGCCACUUGCUGUGAGUUCUUGUUUGGAUCCACUGUGUCCUCCUGUCAGGUCUAUUCCUCAGGUCCUCUGGGAGGCUAUAAUCCUUUCUCACAAGGAAGUCCUCAGCUGUGAAAGGGAGCUUUGGAGAGGUAGGGUUUGGAGGAGUUUGUAACUGAGAGCCCUCACUCUGUUCAGUGGACCCAGGAGGGCUCCAAGGAGACACACACCUCGCCUGAGAUCCCACCAUCGCUGUGGCUCCCAACAGUUGCUGUAGCAGGCCAGAGGGAGACCAGUGCCACGGAGCUCCCAAGUGCUCCCUGCAGCUCCAGGAAGAGGCACCAUGUGAACGAAGGGCUACAUCCCUCAGGGCCUUCACUGUGCUGCACACCUCAGACUUCUGCCUCCUCGGAGCUGACGCUAACUGACCACAUACAUUGUGUCUUUCAAAAGAGCAGCUGAAUAACAUAUUCCCAGAAGACUGUCUCAUUGCAGCCUGGAGCUUCUCUGAUAGAUGCUGGGCUUUGUCUUCCCCAGGGAGCAGCAGCAUGGAGCUGGGGUGAGGUGGAAGUCAGAAGAAGCCGCAGAAGGUCUCACUCCUCACUAGUACUUCACUUCACAUGUGACAGUGUCACCAUCAUGUGUCAGUGCCAUAUGCUAUGGCCUCGACUUCAGGAAUGACAACCCAAACCUGUCCUUUCAGUUCCUUGAACAACCCUCAAAUACAUUAUAGCAACAAUCAAAAUCAGUUCUCUUGUGGAAGUAUUUAAAAUAGCAAACUAUUUUUUUCUUCCUUAAAAUAAACAACCUGAAAACCUGGAAUACUAUUAGCAACAACAACUAUGAAACCUGGUGUGAAUAAGCAAUAAACAUUUGUUUAAUUGAUGAAUGGUGCUGUUGUGGCUUUUCCUUAGCAGUCAACCUCAAGCCCAGCUGUGCCAGUGUGAGCACAAGUCCACAGCUCUCUCCUUAAGGCCAGCUCCUGCUAUUCAUUUCAGCUUAGGAUUAUUAAUGUUAAGUUACUGUAAGGAGCUCUGUAAAGAAAGCUGUGGUCAGUUUCAUUUCAUCCAGAAAUGGCUUCUAGGGACCUGUCCUGUGUUCUUCAAUACUAAGAUGUCUGGCUCCUUGACAAACCUGUGGCCAGCCAAGUAAAAGGUGGCACUUCCUUACGGGACAUGGCUUUAUGUUAUUAGUUAUUAUCUAGAGAGAAGUACCUCUGGGUGGUCUUACAGGGAGCAGUCUUUGACUCUUGUAUAAUUGGUAUAUGAAGUAGAAGCAAAUGCUUAAAUUUUGAAUUACAUAUUUAUGUUCACACAUUCUGCCUUGUGUGCUGACCAGCACAGGCAGUCAUGAUAUAUUUGAGAGUAAAGUGUUAACAACUUGAAGGGUCAUCAGAGCAUGGGGAUGCUAGUGAGGAUGUCUUCUGACCUACAUCCCUAGGCUGUGCCUCCUUUAGCCUCUAAAGCAGAUGCUGUCUUCUCAUUAUCUCUACUUCAGUGUGACUGUUCUCCACUGAAAUGCAGUGGCUGCUCGCUGUACCUAAUGAGAAGAUGCACAAGUUGACAGAAGAGAUCCAGAGUGGCCCAGGCAUUCUGUCAGGCUUUGUAGCAUGUCUUCAGAAGGACCCAAAAUAUCCUCCCCAAAUGACACCCAGAUCAUGUCUAGGUGUUAGGCUCCAAUUAGGUAAACUCUCCAAAGAAUCCAGGUGCCAGGGUUCUGAAAUAACCAUGUUCUAAAAGGAUUGAAAAUAUGCAGGUCACAAAGGACACUUUCUCUGCUCUGAGCAAUAUGACAUAACCUUAGAAAGAAUGCUAGGUGAAUGUCUAAUGACACUGAAACCCACAGUCAUCUUGUGAAUUUCUACCUUUAAUGAUACAGGAAACUAAAGAAUAAACAGAAGUUGCAGACCUGACUUUCCAUUCCACAGGGUGACUAUUCCCACCACAGGGUAUAGAUCAUGAUUGCUGGUAUCUUCAUUUUCAUCCCAACACCAUCAAAAAAAAAAAAAAAAAAUCACCAGGGGCUGGGGACUGGCUCAGCUGGGGGACUGCUUGCCACGUAAGCACGAGGACCUGAGUUUGGAAACCGAGUAUUCAUGCAAAAAAAAAAAAAAAAAAAAAAAAAAAA
Molecule: long non-coding RNA, 2344 nt
Organism: Mus musculus (house mouse)
Lineage: Eukaryota; Metazoa; Chordata; Mammalia; Rodentia; Muridae
Product: predicted gene 15738
Exons: 3
Source: RefSeq, a predicted model, not a curated record